RNAcentral lists this ribosomal RNA (253 nucleotides) under uncultured bacterium. Its description in RNAcentral is "partial 16S ribosomal RNA". It matches the Rfam family "Bacterial small subunit ribosomal RNA", at positions 524 to 776 of the family's 1533-position model. The record is from RNAcentral.
UACAGAGGGGGCAAGCGUUGUUCGGAAUUACUGGGCGUAAAGGGCGCGUAGGCGGCCCGCUAAGUCGAACGUGAAAUCCCCGAGCUCAACUCGGGAACUGCGUCCGAUACUGGUGGGCUUGAAUCCGGGAGAGGGAUGCGGAAUUCCAGGUGUAGCGGUGAAAUGCGUAGAUAUCAGGAGGAACACCGGUGGCGAAGGCGGAUCUCUGGGCCUUACCUGACGCUCAGGUGCGAAAGCUAGGGGAGCGAACAGG